This 330-nucleotide ribosomal RNA is filed under the name uncultured Anaerolineaceae bacterium. RNAcentral describes it as "bacterial SSU rRNA". It matches the Rfam family "Bacterial small subunit ribosomal RNA", at positions 1039 to 1378 of the family's 1533-position model. Lineage: Bacteria; Bacillati; Chloroflexota; Anaerolineae; Anaerolineales; Anaerolineaceae. The record is from RNAcentral.
UGUUGCAUGGCUGUCGUCAGCUCGUGCCGUGAGAUGUUCGGUUAAGUCCGCUAACGAGCGCAACCCUCGCUGUGUGUUACAAGUGUCACACAGUACUGCCGAUAUUAAGUCGGAGGAAGGUGGGGAUGACGUCAAGUCAGCAUGACCUUUAUAUCCAGGGCUACACACACGCUACAAUGGCCAGUACAAUGGGUUGCCAAGCCGCGAGGCGGAGCCAAUCCUAAAAAGCUGGCCUCAGUUCAGAUUGCAGUCUGCAACUCGACUGCAUGAAGUUGGAGUUGCUAGUAACCGCAGGUCAGCAAUACUGCGGUGAAUACGUUCCCGGGGAUU